GUAGGUGGCAAGCGUAGUCCGGAAUUAUUGGGCGUAAAGCGCGCGCAGGCGGGUUUUUAAGUCUGAUGUGAAAGCCCACGGGCUCAACCGUGGAGGGUCAUUGGAAACUGGAGAACUUGAGUACAGAAGAGGAAAGCGGAAUUCCACGUGUAGCGGUGAAAUGCGUAGAGAUGUGGAGGAACACCAGUGGCGAAGGCGGCUUUCUGGUCUGUAACUGACGCUGAGGCGCGAAAGCGUGGGGAGCAAACAGGAUUAGAUACCCUGGUAGUCCACGCCGUAAACGAUGAGUGCUAAGUGUUAGGGGGUUUCCGCCCCUUAGUGCUGCAGCUAACGCAUUAAGCACUCCGCCUGGGGAGUACGGCCGCAAAGGCUG
This 373-nucleotide ribosomal RNA is filed under the name uncultured organism. RNAcentral describes it as "partial 16S ribosomal RNA". It matches the Rfam family "Bacterial small subunit ribosomal RNA", at positions 527 to 896 of the family's 1533-position model. The record is from RNAcentral.